Molecule: transfer RNA, 72 nt
Filed under: marine sediment metagenome
Rfam family: tRNA
About the family: Transfer RNA (tRNA) molecules are approximately 80 nucleotides in length.
Source: RNAcentral
GCCCCCGUAGCGUAAUGGAUAGCGUGCAAGACUUCGGAUCUUGAGGUGAGGGUUCAAAUCCUUCCGGGGGCA